RNAcentral lists this long non-coding RNA (1901 nucleotides) under Homo sapiens (human). Its description in RNAcentral is "novel transcript". Lineage: Eukaryota; Metazoa; Chordata; Mammalia; Primates; Hominidae. The record is from RNAcentral.
GGGAGCUGGGAAAAGGCCCCAGGAGCUAGGGCAUCCUGAUUGUUCUUUCAAAGAAAUCCCUCUUGUUCUUAGUCAACAUGCUGGAUACCAGCUAAAAAAUGCAAAAUGAUCUUCAGGCAGGGAUGGCACAGGACCCUUGCUGAGCUGUGAAGCCUGGCUGUGAGGAUUCCUGCAUGGAAACAUCAACAUGUUGCCAGAUUGGUAUACGACUCAACACCACACUGUUUGAUUGGAGUUGAGCUGAUCUUGUCUGAACCUAGCUGGGCCUGGUCCGGGGCGGCAAAUUAGAUUCAGAUUCUCCGGAGAAAAAGGCUGGCUCGCAAGAGGAUGCCAGAAGAGUGACAUCUCCCUCAUCAGCGCUUUGCCUCUUAAGAGAUCCAGGGAGAAGUGAGAGCUUGUGUUGGUUCAGAGCCUCAGAAAUACGGCCAACAUUGCUCUGAGGAACUAGCUCCUAUCAGUCUGCAGCUCUGUCCUGGGCACAUCAGGAUUAGUCUCAUGCUUUGUCAUUGCACGCAUCACAGGUUGGCUGCGUCGGCUCCCAUCAUAUGCCAUCAACAAUGUCAACACUUGACAUGCUGCUCCCAAACAGUGCCUUUGAAUCAAGACCCAGUCAUCGUAUUCGAAGAAAAAGGAAAUAUCCCUGACCAUGUUGGGACUUAACACUGCUUCACAGAGCUACCCAAACCAAGGAGAAUACCAACGUGAAUUGUCUUUCCACCUGUUGUGUGGGGCCAGCAAUUAUUCUUUUAGCUUGACGCGUUAACCCACCUGCUCCCUGUGGCCCUGGGAUGCUCUGCCAUCCCCCGUGGCUGCCAGUUCACUUAGGGUAGACUUAUGGCAGAGGGAUGUCAAUUUUGCUUGAACUGCUCAAUCACUGCUGACAUUUCGUUAACCACCCUAUGAACUUCUCAAGCCUGAAGUAGCAGCAACUUGUGCCCUUGAAAACUGAACAGAAAACAACUGUAUUGAUUUUCUACUAUCAACAAGAAAAAGACAAUUUCUCUUUGCUGAGAAUGUUCAUAAUGCAUUUUACACCACUUAUUCUCGGCAGUCCACCUCUUCCUGAUAUAUUGUUGGGCCUCUUUAAACCCCUGCUGCUUUAGACUCUGCUAGAAUUAACCCUGAAAUGCCAGCACCAUCUCAAGCCCUUCCAGUUCCCGGAUAGAAAUGUUCAUCAGUGCUGAAUUGACAGCCUACUUAGGCAAGGGAGCUGUGAUCAUUUAGAAAUUACAAAGGAACUCAGGCCUGGGUGAAGGGUUUGGGGUUGGGACACUAGGAAUCUCUUUUAGUAAAAUUCUCUUUUAAAAGAACAUAUCUCUUUGGUUUGUUAAAAGCACUAAUGAUGUCUAUAUGAUAUUUUGGAGAUAUAUCAGCAUAUACACUGACCAAACUGAUUGAAUAGGAAGUAAUUUUCAGUAAUUUUUACCACUCAUGCAACCAUUCUUGCUAACUCAAGACCCAAGAUUUAACUUGUGUAUGAUUAUUCCAAAUUACCAGGCCUUUCUUUUCUUUUUCAACCUGCAUUAAAAAAAAAAAAAAAAAAAAAAAAAAACUAUCAGGCAUGCCCUAAUAGUUCCAUUUUUUUUGAAAUUUCCAACAUACCAAAAAGAGACUCCAAGGAACUGAAAGAGAUUCAAGAAGCUUGAAAAAGCAAGCCUGACCCUCUGGGACAACUGUAGUGUCAAAAGCAGUCAAUAUUUAUGCCUAGCAACCUUGACAAUAUCCUUUUAAUUAAAAUCAAUGGAGAAAUAAAACAUGCAUUAGAAUGCACGUGGGAUCACUCACCUCACGAGACAGAGAAGGAAGACUCUGAUAUUAUGCACGAUGUGAUUAUGACAAGACGCUGGAUCUUCUGUAUGAGACAUGGGUUCUGGUAUUUGCAAUUAGAUCUCUUCUUUUGA